UUCAUCAUCGUCAAAAUGAGCAUCUCCUCCAAGACCAUCACCGGGAGCAAAGGCGUGGGCGAGAGUGUUACUGGGCCCAUCAAAGGAAUUAUAAUCACCAUGUUCUGUUAAAUAAGGCGAACAAGCCAAAAUUUACAAACCAUUUUGUGCACACAUUGACAUGAAACAUUUGGUAAAUAGUUAUCUCCAAGUGGAUUCAAACAGUCAAUCUAACACAUAUAUAACUCUAUGUAAUACAAUAUAAUGCCGAUUAGAGGUAUUGUGUGUAUAAGUACAUCAUUUCUUUAGGGUAUUCUGAUUCUGAGUAACCUAUCCAUACUCUAUUUUCUAUUGUUUUAGACUCAUAUUUUUAAUAAUGAUGUUAUCUGAGUGCAUCUUCCAUUGCUGAAAAAAUUUGCACUCACCCCAGCGAGCAAAGGAGAUCAUAAUAUCAGCAAUGCCGCUGUAGAUCCUUGUGAACCUCAGUGGAGUGACUUUGGCCCACACCUGCAGAGCUUUGUCUAUGGAGUCAUCCACCUCUGCCACAGACAUGUCAGAUCAUUCACCUGUAUGUGAGGCUGUUUUUCUCCCAUUUGUUUCUAAAAAUGGAGAAACGAGCAACCUGUUCAUCGGGAACCCCACAGCGGGGCUUCUUCAUCAUGGCCAAAGUGUCAGCAUCCAGAGACCCGGUGAUCUGGAGACCAAAGAAUCUCUGCAUGUCAGCCAGCUUCUUGUUCAACGGGCUGAUGCCCCCUCUGCCAGCUGGACCCUCCUCCUCUGUGAGGUUGAAGAAUUUCUUCAGAAACUUCAGAAAUCGGCGCAGAGAGAACUGCAGUCGCCAGACUGAACAGAAUACACCCGAAGUCAGAAAACCUGUGAUUGCAGCUGAACCUGAUGUCAACUGAUAACUCAACCUAUGACUUGUUACUGCAGCUUGAUGAUCUGAUGCAUGAAUCACAGAGAUUGAAUCACAGAGGUUGUUGUAGGCAGAAGAUCUUUUACUGCUGAAUGUUGAGUUGUCAUGACUGAAAUUACCCAAACACUUCAGGGACUCUUCCUCCUUCUCAAGAAUAGUACUCUCUAUCUGCUGCCUUUUAAGGUAAUGAAGUAUUCAAAAAAAAAAAGAGAAAAAAUUCCAGAUCAUGCUGAGACGACUGAAUGGAUAUCAAAGGCUGAUGCUCAUUGUUAUACACCCUUUUGGCUUUUGCUUUGGUAACUUUGCAGUACAGUGUUUAAAAACCAUGCUGAUAACCCCAUCGUUAUAUGAGUAGUCAUCAUAUUUUCCCUCCAAACAGAGAUUAUGAUUCAAACAUCAGGUCUAUCUCCACAGUCAGGUGUAUGUGGGCAGUCUAUGAUAAAACAGAGAUCCGCACCCUUAAACAUAACAGUGUGCGUGUGAGACAGUGAGACAACAAAUCCAGACAUUUCCAUUUUGGCAGCUUAUCAACAAUUUUCUCAGAUUCCUGGAAUGAUAGAUGUCAAAAUGGCUAAAAAAAAAUAGGCUAUAUCUCAGACAUAACAAAGAUGUGGCAUGGAUUUGGCAAUAAAUAAAAACCAAAGUGUGAAAAUUAUCUUUCAAAUUUCACCAUCACCAUUCAACAUUUCACCAUUCAUCAUAACAGAAAAACAUGCUUGUUCUGUUAUCACUAAAAGUUGUAAAAUGUUGUAUCACUAAAAUAUCAUUCUCAGUCAGUUGUUAUUUAUUAUGUGUUUACAGCGCCCUCUGUGGUUGCUCCAAGUAAUGCGCUUUAGAAACGGCUUUAGUUUGGAAAAAACUUUAUUGAACAGGAACUCCGCUCAGUGAGCAAGUGAGCAAGAAGAAGGGAAACAUAUCGGCACACAGUUUAUGGUGUCCUGUUGGAAAAAAUACUGUCCACAUCUUCUGUUUAUGGUUGUAUCGCCGGUAUGUACAAGUUGCAACUUUGUUUUUUGUACAAUAUGUUGCCCGCUAAUGCAGCAUAUGGCUGUAAAGCUAGUCCUUUUGUUAAGCUAGUUACCCGCGAUUUUGGAGGUCUUCUGGGAUAGCAUCAGUAGUAGUUUAAAAAGUUUACAUAAUUAGACAUAUGCUAUGUAGUAGCAUUGUGGUAUAUAAAUGCAUAUUAUGCUGCACAUAUGUAUGUCAUGACUGUAUUUUUUUGCCUUGUUUUUAGUUUUACCCUUUUGAAUGUCAGUAAACCUGUUGACAACGCUCAUCGGUCUUCAGAGUGGUGAUAUAAGAAAGGUGUUAACGCCCCUGCAUCAGACAUGCACCCCGGCACAAUGCUCCUUCCUUCCAUCGACACUAGCCAGUUGAACAACUCACCACUUUGCAUCGAGGUUCUAGCAACAGGCAGGACUCUAAUGCAGGCUCCAGGCCAUAGUUCCAUGUAUUUAUUUAAAGUUA
This is a non-coding RNA of Neolamprologus brichardi, 2362 nucleotides long. The record is from RefSeq and is a predicted model, not a curated record. Lineage: Eukaryota; Metazoa; Chordata; Actinopteri; Cichliformes; Cichlidae.